AAGAUUCUGUGCUCGCUUCUAUACCAAAAUUGAAACGAUACAUUAGCGUGGCCCCUGCACAAGGAUGACAUGCAAAUUCGUGAAGCGUUCCACACUUUU
This 99-nucleotide small nuclear RNA is filed under the name Microtus ochrogaster (prairie vole). Lineage: Eukaryota; Metazoa; Chordata; Mammalia; Rodentia; Cricetidae. The record is from RNAcentral.